RNAcentral lists this long non-coding RNA (333 nucleotides) under Mus pahari (shrew mouse). RNAcentral describes it as "lncRNA (MGP_PahariEiJ_G0006057.1)". Lineage: Eukaryota; Metazoa; Chordata; Mammalia; Rodentia; Muridae. The record is from RNAcentral.
CUUUUGAGUCUGAUGGGCUGGUAGAGUGUGAGCGUGGCUCCUAAAUUUCUUGGGUAGGACUGAAGCACUUUUAAGGGACAGGGUGUUUUAUCACAGCAACAGAAAUGAAACUAAAACAACUUCCACAAUAAAAUUCUUGAGUUUCUUGGGGCCAAGAAGAUGACAGGAUAAGAUAAAGACACUGGCCAAGAUUGACCUCCAGAGUUUGCCCCUUGCUUAAAGGAGAAAAUUCCUUCAGUUAUCCUCUGAUCUCCACAUGCAUUCUGUAACAUGGGUGUAUGCAUACACACGAACACACAUCCACACGUUAAAUAAAUAAAAUAUACUGAAAGU